RNAcentral lists this ribosomal RNA (365 nucleotides) under uncultured bacterium. Its description in RNAcentral is "bacterial SSU rRNA". It matches the Rfam family "Bacterial small subunit ribosomal RNA", at positions 976 to 1362 of the family's 1533-position model. The record is from RNAcentral.
AACCCUUGACAUGGGUAUCGCGGCCUCAGAGAUGGGGCUUUCAGUUCGGCUGGAUACCACACAGGUGCUGCAUGGCUGUCGUCAGCUCGUGUCGUGAGAUGUUCGGUUAAGUCCGGCAACGAGCGCAACCCACACUUCCAGUUGCCAUCAUUUGGUUGGGCACUCUGGAAGAACUGCCGGUGAUAAGCCGGAGGAAGGUGUGGAUGACGUCAAGUCCUCAUGGCCCUUACGGGUUGGGCUACACACGUGCUACAAUGGUGGUGACAAUGGGCCAAUCCCAAAAAGCCAUCUCAGUUCGGAUUGGGGUCUGCAACUCGACCCCAUGAAGUCGGAAUCGCUAGUAAUCGCGUAACAGCAUGACGCGG